RNAcentral lists this ribosomal RNA (467 nucleotides) under uncultured bacterium. RNAcentral describes it as "partial 16S ribosomal RNA". It matches the Rfam family "Bacterial small subunit ribosomal RNA", at positions 28 to 507 of the family's 1533-position model. The record is from RNAcentral.
GACGAACGCUGGCGGCGUGCUUAACACAUGCAAGUCGAACGGAAAGGCCCUGCUUUUGUGGGGUGCUCGAGUGGCGAACGGGUGAGUAACACGUGAGUAACCUGCCCUUGACUUUGGGAUAACUUCAGGAACUGGGGCUAAUACCGGAUAGGAGCUCCUGCUGCAUGGUGGGGGUUGGAAAGUUUCGGCGGUUGGGGAUGGACUCGCGGGUUAUCCGGUUGUUGGUGGGGUAGUGGCUUACCAAGGCUUUGACGGGUAGCCGGCCUGAGAGGGUGACCGGCCACAUUGGGACUGAGAUACGGCCCAGACUCCUACGGGAGGCAGCAGUGGGGAAUAUUGCACAAUGGGCGGAAGCCUGAUGCAGCAACGCCGCGUGCGGGAUGACGGCCUUCGGGUUGUAAACCGCUUUCGCCUGUGACGAAGCGUGAGUGACGGUAAUGGGUAAAGAAGCUCCGGCUAACUACGUG